The submitters of this non-coding RNA (256 nucleotides) gave its source as unclassified sequences. The record is from Rfam.
UAAACGGAUAUCGUAAUCCGGUGCUGUGUGUGGUACCUGGUUUGGAUACCAGAGAGGUUAGGAGACAGCUUCUAAAGAUUUAUCUUGGCGAGGGGAAACCCAGGGUAGCUCCCAUCUGAGUACGUCGCAUCCUAACAUGCCAAUCCGGAGAAUGGGGUGAAACUCCUCUGAAAUCCGGUGUUGCUUCAUUCCACACGAAGCACAAACAAACAGAAACACCGGGGAAUUUGUCGAUCCUUGGGUACAUUAAGUUUGA